RNAcentral lists this long non-coding RNA (1705 nucleotides) under Anolis carolinensis (green anole). Its description in RNAcentral is "lncRNA (ENSACAG00000033627.2)". The record is from RNAcentral. Lineage: Eukaryota; Metazoa; Chordata; Lepidosauria; Squamata; Anolidae.
AUGGAACUGGACAAUUUGGACAGAAAAACAAGAAAACUCAUGACCAUUCAUCAUUCACUGCACCCUCGCAGUGAUGUUGACCGGCUGUAUCUGCCUAGAAGAUCAGGGGGCAGAGGACUCUUGCAAGUAAAACAAGCAGUCAAAGAAGAAGAACAUGCCCUGGCAGAAUAUGUAAAACAAAGUGAAGAACCUGCUUUGAUUGAAGUCAAAAAUCAGAAACUCCUCAAAGCACAGCAGACAAAAAACCAGUACAAGAAAACCGCACUACAAACUAGAGCUGACAGCUGGCACAACAAAACACUGCAUGGAAAGUUCCUUGACAAAAUUGAAGGAAAAGCUGAUAAAGAGAAGACCUGGCUCUGGCUCACGAAUGGGACCCUGAAGAAGGAGACAGAAGGCCUGAUCCUUGCAGCCCAGGAGCAAGCCAUCAGAACAAAUGCAAUCAAGGCCAAGAUCGAAAAAUCAGCUGAUGACCCAAAGUGCAGACUGUGCAAGGAAACCGAUGAAACCAUUGAUCAUAUCCUCAGCUGCUGUAAGAAAAUUGCACAGACAGACUACAAACAGAGGCACAACUAUGUGGCCCAAAUGAUUCAUUGGAACCUAUGCCUCAAGUAUCACCUCCCUGCAGUUAAGAACUGGUGGGAUCACAAACCUGCAAAGGUUGUGGAAAAUGAACACGCAAAGAUACUGUGGGACUUCCGAAUCCAGACUGACAAAGUUCUGGAACACAACACACCAGACAUCACAGUUGUGGAAAAGAACAAGGUUUGGAUCAUUGAUGUUGCCAUCCCAGGUGACAGUCGCAUUGAAGAAAAACAACAGGAAAAACUCAGCCGCUAUCAGGACCUCAAGAUUGAACUUCAAAGACUCUGGCAGAAACCAGUGCAGGGUGGCCUUUUGCAGCUGGCAGAUCGUAAUUUUGUCAAUGUCUAUUGUUUCCAAAUACCGGUUGAGAUCUUUUGGCACGGCACCCAAUGCACCGAUCACCACCGGGACCACCUGCAUUGGUUUCUGCCAGAGUCUUUGCAGUUCAAUCUUGAGGUCCUGAUAGCGGCUGAGUUUUUCCUGUUGCUUUUCGUCAAUGCGACUGUCACCUGGGAUGGCGACAUCAAUGAUCCAAACCUUUUUCUUUUCCACAACUGUGAUGUCUGGUGUGUUGUGUUCCAGAACUUUGUCAGUCUGGAUUCGGAAGUCCCACAGUAUCUUUGCGUGCUCAUUUUCCAAUACUUUUGCAGGUUUGUGAUCCCACCAGUUCUUUACUGCUAGGAGGUGGUACUUGAGGCAUAAGUUCCAAUGAAUCAUUUCGGCCACAUAGUUGUACCUCUGUUUGUAGUCUGUCUGUGCAAUUUUCUUACAGCAGCUGGGGAUAUGAUCAAUGGUUUCGUCGGUUUCCUUGCAGAGUCUGCAUUUUGGGUCAUCAGCUGAUUUUUCGAUCUUGGCCUGAAUUGCCUUUGUCCUGAUGGCUUGCUCCUGGGCUGCAAGGAUCAGGCCUUCUGUCUCCUUCUUCAGGGUCCCAUUCGUGAGCCAGAGCCAGGUCUUCUCCUUAUCAGAUUUUCCUUCAAUUUUGUCAAGGAACUUUCCAUGCAGUGUUUUGUUGUGCCAGCUGUCAGCUCUAGUUUGUAAUGCGGUUUUCUUGUAUUGGCUUUUAUUAUUAUUAUUAUUAUUAUUAUUAUUAUUAUUAUUAUUAUUAUUAUUAUUAUUAAGG